UACGGAGGGAGCUAGCGUUGUUCGGAAUCACUGGGCGUAAAGCGCACGUAGGCGGAUUGCUAAGUCAGGGGUGAAAUCCUGGAGCUCAACUCCAGAACUGCCCUUGAUACUGGCGGUCUCGAGUCCGGGAGAGGUGAGUGGAACUGCGAGUGUAGAGGUGAAAUUCGUAGAUAUUCGCAAGAACACCAGUGGCGAAGGCGGCUCACUGGCCCGGUACUGACGCUGAGGUGCGAAAGCGUGGGGAGCAAACAGGAUAGAAACCCCGGU
RNAcentral lists this ribosomal RNA (267 nucleotides) under uncultured bacterium. RNAcentral describes it as "partial 16S ribosomal RNA". It matches the Rfam family "Bacterial small subunit ribosomal RNA", at positions 524 to 791 of the family's 1533-position model. The record is from RNAcentral.